UUGGAGAUCGCUGUCAGACUAAAUUCUGGUCUAAUUCCUACUGUGGGGAUUGUCCCUUAAAAACUUCUUUCCCUGUUUUGUUUGUAUUGCUAUUUCUUAUGCAAAGUGGCGAACUUUGGGAUGGGUUGGGCACUUAGGGCCAUUGGUCUGAGCUUGGUUCAUUCUUUUCUUCAGUUGACAGAUCACAGCGAUAAGUUGACUUGGAGGUUAGCCAAAAAUGGUAAAUUCUCAGUCAAAUCCUUCUAUAACUUCCUAAGGCUGAGAGAGCAAGGUAGUUUCCCCCCUAAACAGAUAUGGAUACCAAUGGUGCCUUAAAAAGUUUACUCUUUUGCUUUAGUGAUAGCUUGGGAGAAAAUUCUCACUUGGAUCGGCUCAAGAAAAUGGAUUGGCCUUUAGCUCGCCUGUGCUUCAUCUGUAAAACAGAAGUAGAGUCAACUAACUAUAUCCUUAUUCGUUGAGGUUUGGCUUGUAGUUUGAAGACAUUGAUGUUUGCUUUGAUGCAGGAAAUUUUGGGGGAGAGGUAGUCAGAGGUUGUGGAGAGUUGUUCCUCUGUGUGUGAUGUGGCCCAUUUGGAGAGACCAUACUAGAAGUUGCUUUUAGGGACUGGAGUGGUUGGAGGUGUUCGCAAAGGCUUUGUAAAUACUUUGUAUUCUUGGACAACUUUUGAUUUGGAUUGUAAUUUGAGCUUCUUGUUUGAUUUCUUAGAUACUCUAGGAAGGGGCUAUGGCACCAGGUUUUGCUGCCUUUGGUGCAUUCC
This 757-nucleotide long non-coding RNA is filed under the name Vitis vinifera (wine grape). Its description in RNAcentral is "long non-coding RNA (VVIN_LNC001265)". Lineage: Eukaryota; Viridiplantae; Streptophyta; Magnoliopsida; Vitales; Vitaceae. The record is from RNAcentral.